AGUGAACGCUGGCGGUAGGCCUAACACGUGCAAGUCGAACGGCAGCACAGGAGAGCUUGCUCUCUGGGUGGCGAGUGGCGGACGGGUGAGGAAUACAUCGGAAUCUACCUUUUCGUGGGGGAUAACGUAGGGAAACUUACGCUAAUACCGCAUACGACCUACGGGUGAAAGUGGGGGACCGCAAGGCCUCACGCGAUUAGAUGAGCCGAUGUCCGAUUAGCUAGUUGGCGGGGUAAUGGCCCACCAAGGCGACGAUCGGUAGCUGGUCUGAGAGGAUGAUCAGCCACACUGGAACUGAGACACGGUCCAGACUCCUACGGGAGGCAGCAGUGGGGAAUAUUGGACAAUGGGCGCAAGCCUGAUCCAGCCAUACCGCGUGGGUGAAGAAGGCCUUCGGGUUGUAAAGCCCUUUUGUUGGGAAAGAAAUCCUGUCGAUUAAUACUCGGUGGGGAUGACGGUACCCAAAGAAUAAGCACCGGCUAACUUCGUG
RNAcentral lists this ribosomal RNA (490 nucleotides) under uncultured bacterium. Its description in RNAcentral is "partial 16S ribosomal RNA". It matches the Rfam family "Bacterial small subunit ribosomal RNA", at positions 29 to 507 of the family's 1533-position model. The record is from RNAcentral.